RNAcentral lists this ribosomal RNA (287 nucleotides) under uncultured Campylobacter sp. RNAcentral's name for it is "partial 16S ribosomal RNA". It matches the Rfam family "Bacterial small subunit ribosomal RNA", at positions 179 to 486 of the family's 1533-position model. The record is from RNAcentral. Lineage: Bacteria; Pseudomonadati; Campylobacterota; Epsilonproteobacteria; Campylobacterales; Campylobacteraceae.
CUGCUUAACACAAGUUGAGUAGGGAAAGUUUUUCGGUGUAGGAUGAGACUAUAUAGUAUCAGCUAGUUGGUAAGGUAAUGGUUUACCAAGGCUAUGACGCUUAACUGGUCUGAGAGGAUGAUCAGUCACACUGGAACUGAGACACGGUCCAGACUCCUACGGGAGGCAGCAGUAGGGAAUAUUGCGCAAUGGGGGAAACCCUGACGCAGCAACGCCGCGUGGAGGAUGACACUUUUCGGAGCGUAAACUCCUUUUCUUAGGGAAGAAUUCUGACGGUACCUAAGGAA